GACGAACGCUGGCGGCGUGCUUAACACAUGCAAGUCGAACGCUGAAGCUCAGCUUUUGUUGGGUGGAUGAGUGGCGAACGGGUGAGUAACACGUGAGUAACCUGCCUCCUUCUUUGGGAUAACGCCCGGAAACGGGUGCUAAUACUGGAUAUUCACUGGUCUUCGCAUGGGGGUUGGUGGAAAGGGUUUUUCUGGUGGGGGAUGGGCUCGCGGCCUAUCAGCUUGUUGGUGGGGUGAUGGCCUACCAAGGCUUUGACGGGUAGCCGGCCUGAGAGGGUGACCGGUCACAUUGGGACUGAGAUACGGCCCAGACUGCUACGGGAGGCAGCAGUGGGGAAUAUUGCACAAUGGGCGCAAGCCUGAUGCAGCGACGCCGCGUGAGGGAUGGAGGCCUUCGGGUUGUGAACCUCUUUCGCUCAUGGUCAAGCCGCAACAAUGGUUGUGGUGAGGGUAGUGGGUAAAGAAGCGCCGGCUAACUACGUG
Molecule: ribosomal RNA, 483 nt
Filed under: uncultured bacterium
Lineage: Bacteria
Description: partial 16S ribosomal RNA
Rfam family: Bacterial small subunit ribosomal RNA
Source: RNAcentral